Hordeum vulgare subsp. vulgare (domesticated barley) is the source of this 1110-nucleotide long non-coding RNA. RefSeq lists it as uncharacterized. NCBI's taxonomy places the organism in Eukaryota, Viridiplantae, Streptophyta, Magnoliopsida, Poales, Poaceae. The record is from RefSeq and is a predicted model, not a curated record. The transcript has 3 exons.
CAGCAUAUGUGAAAGAUACUUUUUGGGCAGGAAUGUCUUCAACACAAAGGAGUGAGAGUGUGAAUGCUUUGUUUGAUGGUUAUGUCCAUGCUAGAACAACUCUGAAGCAAUUUGUGGAGCAGUAUGGAAAUGCAUUACGAGACAAAGUAGAGAAAGAAAACAAGGCUGAUUCUAAGUCAUUCCAAGAGGUAAUUCGAUGUAUUACUGACUAUGACCUUGAGGGGCAAUUUCAGGCCGCCUAUACAAAUGCGAAGUUUAAAGAGUUUCAAGAUCAAUUGAGAGGUAAAAUAUAUUGCUAUCCAACUUUGAUGGACAAAGACGGGUCACCUUUGAUGUUUAGAGUCAGAGAGGACCGCAAGAUUUUUUUAUGAAGGAGAGGAUGGAUAUAUCAAAGAGAAAUGGGUUAUUUCAGAGUUCACUCUCUUGCUCGACCAAGGGGAAUGUGAUGUGAAGUGUGUUUGUAGAUUAUUUGAAUUUCAGGGCAUCUUGUGUAGCCACAUCCUUUCUGUGCUUGCUCUCAUGGGGAUAACAAAAGUACCUCCUAGGUAUAUAUUGCAGCGAUGGACAAAGGAUUUUAAGCACAGACACACCUUUAUAAAAUGCUCCUACGAUGAUACGCUGAAUACACCAAUUAUGCAACGUUAUGAUAAUUUGUGCAAGCGUUCCCGUGAAGUGGCAGAAAAUGGUGCUGAGUCUGAUGCAUUACAUGACUUGGUCAUGGAUGGCCUUAAUGAGUUAUAAAUAAAGAUUGAUACUUAUCGCACUACCCAUAUAAUUUAGGAGGUGGAUCCUACUUCAAAACAUGGAGAUACAACGUUCAACAAAGAAAAAGUUGUACAUAGCCCAGUCCCUGUUCGCAGUGUAGGUCGCCCUCCCUCAAAGAGAAAGGAAUCUAAAGUAGAUCAAGUAGUCAAAAGAUUGAGAGCGAAGAAGAAGCAGGUACCAAAAGAUACAAAUGGAGCGUCAAGUCAAAAAGGAAGAAAGAAAAGCAACAUAAAAUCAAAAAAUGUGCAAGAAAGUAAUCCUAUGCCUUCACAACAAACCGAGGGAAAUGCAUAUUGUGAAGGACGUGAUGUGGGAAGUGUUUGUUUCUUUCCAAAUAAGUUUCAG